This 756-nucleotide ribosomal RNA is filed under the name uncultured bacterium. RNAcentral's name for it is "bacterial SSU rRNA". It matches the Rfam family "Bacterial small subunit ribosomal RNA", at positions 8 to 796 of the family's 1533-position model. The record is from RNAcentral.
AGAGUUUGAUCAUGGCUCAGAAUCAACGCUGGCGGCGUGCCUAACACAUGCAAGUCGCACGAGAAAGUGGAGCAAUCCAUGAGUAAAGUGGCGCACGGGUGAGUAACACGUGAAUGAUCUACCUCCGAGUGGGGAAUAACCUAGAGAAAUCUGGGCUAAUACCGCAUAACACUUACGAGUCAAAGCAGCAAUGCGCUUGGAGAGGAGUUCGCGGCCGAUUAGCUAGUUGGCGGGGUAAUGGCCCACCAAGGCGAUGAUCGGUAUCCGGCCUGAGAGGGCGCACGGACACACUGGAACUGAAACACGGUCCAGACUCCUACGGGAGGCAGCAGUGGGGAAUUUUGCGCAAUGGGGGAAACCCUGACGCAGCAACGCCGCGUGGAGGAUGAAAUCCCUUGGGAUGUAAACUCCUUUCGAUAGGGAAGAUAAUGACGGUACCUAUAGAAGAAGCCCCGGCUAACUUCGUGCCAGCAGCCGCGGUAAUACGAGGGGGGCAAGCGUUGUUCGGAAUUAUUGGGCGUAAAGGGUGCGUAGGCGGUUUGACAAGUCUGAUGUGAAAUCUAUGGGCUCAACCCAUAGUCUGCAUCGGAAACUGUCGGGCUUGAGUAUGGGAGAGGUGAGUGGAAUUUCCGGUGUAGCGGUGAAAUGCGUAGAUAUCGGAAGGAACACCUGUGGCGAAAGCGGCUCACUGGACCAUUACUGACGCUGAGGCACGAAAGCUAGGGGAGCAAACAGGAUUAGAUACCCUAGUAGUCC